Regulatory RNA element from Chlorocebus sabaeus (green monkey), 191 nucleotides. It matches the Rfam family "Mason-Pfizer monkey virus packaging signal", at positions 1 to 187 of the family's 279-position model. Rfam says of the family: The packaging signal is located in the 5' UTR and is required for specific RNA encapsidation. Lineage: Eukaryota; Metazoa; Chordata; Mammalia; Primates; Cercopithecidae. The record is from Rfam.
UGGCGCCCGAACAGGGACCUGGAAACGAGGGACUCCGUGAGGAAGAGGACGCCAAAGGAUGGUCGACCGCUAACAAAGACAAAAGAAAGUGAACUCUUCCGAUCACCACGGGAACCCGCCGCGUCAGAAUCGAAGGUAAGUGACGCGUCCGAAAUGGGACAAGAAUUAAGCCAACAUCAGAUCUAUGUAGG